UCCGGUUUGUCACCGGCAGUCUCAUUAGAGUGCCCAACUGAAUGUAGCAACUAAUGACAAGGGUUGCGCUCGUUGCGGGACUUAACCCAACACCUCACGGCACGAGCUGACGACAGCCAUGCACCACCUGUGCAGGCUCCGAAGAGCGCCCGCUUUCACGGGUUUCACCCUGCAUGUCAAGCCCAGGUAAGGUUCUUCGCGUUGCAUCGAAUUAAACCACAUGCUCCACCGCUUGUGCGGGCCCCCGUCAAUUCCUUUGAGUUUCAGCCUUGCGGCCGUACUCCCCAGGCGGGGUACUUACUGCGUUAGCGACGGCACCGGGAGGGUCGCUCCCCCCGACGCCUAGUACCCAUCGUUUACGGCGUGGACUAC
Molecule: unclassified non-coding RNA, 372 nt
Filed under: uncultured bacterium
Lineage: Bacteria
Description: contains 16S-23S intergenic spacer region
Source: RNAcentral